This 169-nucleotide ribosomal RNA is filed under the name uncultured bacterium. RNAcentral describes it as "partial 16S ribosomal RNA". It matches the Rfam family "Bacterial small subunit ribosomal RNA", at positions 338 to 524 of the family's 1533-position model. The record is from RNAcentral.
CCUACGGGAGGCAGCAGUGGGGAAUAUUGCGCAAUGGGCGCAAGCCUGACCCAGCCAUGCCGCGUGAGUGAUGAAGGCCUUAGGGUUGUAAAGCUCUUUUACCCGGGAUGAUAAUGACAGUACCGGGAGAAUAAGCUCCGGCUAACUCCGUGCCAGCAGCCGCGGUAAU